GUAGUCAUAUGCUUGUCUCGCAGCUUAAGCCAUGCAUGUCUAAGUGUAAAUGCUUUAUAGUGAAACUGCGAAUGGCUCAUUAAAACAGUAAUUGUUUGCUUGGAAACAAUCCGACUUUCGGAUACCUGCGGCAAUUCUACAGCUAAUACGUGACGGCUUUCUCGGAAGCGGUGCAUGUUAAUUAGGACAAUCGGUAGAGGUUACUUUACCUUGAAAGAACACCUUCAUGCGUGAAUCGUGUUACGAUACGAAUGUCCAUCGAAGUUUCUGACCUAUCAGGCUCCGACGGUUGGGUAUUGGCCAACUGUGCCUAUAACGGGUGACGGGGGAUUAGGGUUUGAUUCCGGAGAGGGAGCAUGAGAGAUGGCUACCACAUCUAAGGAAGGCAGCAGGCGCGCAAAUUACCUAUCUUUAACACGGAGAGGUAGUAAACAGAAAUAAUGACGCGCGAUCUUUAUUGUGCGAUCGGAAUGGAUAGCUUGUAAACAAGGCUAUGAAAUCAACUAGAGGGCAAGUCUGGUGCCAGCAGCCGCGGUAAUUCCAGCUCUAAUAGCGUAUAUUAAAGUUGUUGCAGUUAAAACGUUCGUAGUCUACCUCUGUCUGCGCGGUUGAUUGGGGGCCUAUGGCGUUCCAAGCAUUUCCGACAGAGAGUAUGCAGCUUUCGCCGGGCAUGCUUCAUGUACGGACGCAGGUUGCAUUGUACUUUGAGUGAAUCGACGUGUUUCACGCAGAUUAAUGUCUUGGACGAUCUACCAUGGUAUAAAAAUAGUUUGAAUAUGCCACGUUGGUUGUUUCGAGGUGCAUUCUACUGCCAAAAGAACGGUUGAGGGCAUUCGUAUUCAACUGCCAGAGGUGAAAUUCUUUGAUUAGUUGAGGACGACCUACUGCGAAAGCAUUUGCCAAAGACCUUUCUUCUGAUCAAGAACGAAAGUUAGGUGACCGAAGAUGAUUAGAUACCGUCGUAGUCGUAACUAUAAACGUUGCUAACCGAGCGCCGGUGUGGUUUUAAUAUGCUAUUUCGGAACUUUUUGAGAAAUCAUGAGUCUCUAAGUUCUGGGGGGAGUAUAGUGCAAGGCCGAAACUUAAAGGAAUGACGGAAGAAUCGUCGACUGAAAGUCCU
RNAcentral lists this ribosomal RNA (1120 nucleotides) under uncultured alveolate. RNAcentral describes it as "bacterial SSU rRNA". It matches the Rfam family "Eukaryotic small subunit ribosomal RNA", at positions 20 to 1659 of the family's 1831-position model. The record is from RNAcentral.